UUGCUGGGUGGAUCAGUGGCGAACGGGUGAGUAACACGUGAGCAACCUGCCCUCCACUUUGGGAUAAGCCUUGGAAACGAGGUCUAAUACCAAAUAUGAGCAUGCGACGCAUGUCGUGUGUUGGAAAGUUUUUCGGUGGGGGAUGGGCUCGCGGCCUAUCAGCUUGUUGGUGGGGUAAUGGCCUACCAAGGCGUCGACGGGUAGCCGGCCUGAGAGGGCGACCGGCCACACUGGGACUGAGACACGGCCCAGACUCCUACGGGAGGCAGCAGUGGGGAAUAUUGCACAAUGGGCGAAAGCCUGAUGCAGCGACGCCGCGUGAGGGAUGACGGCCUUCGGGUUGUAAACCUCUUUCAGCAGGGAAGAAGGCUUCGGUUGACGGUACCUGCAGAAGAAGCGCCGGCUAACUACGUGCCAGCAGCCGCGGUAAUACGUAGGGCGCAAGCGUUGUCCGGAAUUAUUGGGCGUAAAGAGCUCGUAGGCGGUCUGUCGCGUCUGGUGUGAAAACCCGAGGCUCAACCUCGGGCUUGCAUCGGGUACGGGCAGACUAGAGUGCGGUAGGGGAGACUGGAAUUCCUGGUGUAGCGGUGGAAUGCGCAGAUAUCAGGAGGAACACCGAUGGCGAAGGCAGGUCUCUGGGCCGCAACUGACGCUGAGGAGCGAAAGCAUGGGGAGCGAACAGGAUUAGAUACCCUGGUAGUCCAUGCCGUAAACGUUGGGCACUAGGUGUGGGGCUCAUUCCACGAGUUCCGUGCCGCAGCUAACGCAUUAAGUGCCCCGCCUGGGGAGUACGGCCGCAAGGCUAAAACUCAAAGGAAUUGACGGGGGCCCGCACAAGCGGCGGAGCAUGCGGAUUAAUUCGAUGCAACGCGAAGAACCUUACCAAGGCUUGACAUGCACCGGACGCUGCCAGAGAUGGUGGUUCCGCAAGGUCGGUGCACAGGUGGUGCAUGGUUGUCGUCAGCUCGUGUCGUGAGAUGUUGGGUUAAGU
RNAcentral lists this ribosomal RNA (991 nucleotides) under Isoptericola sp. J8Y403. RNAcentral describes it as "bacterial SSU rRNA". It matches the Rfam family "Bacterial small subunit ribosomal RNA", at positions 80 to 1085 of the family's 1533-position model. Lineage: Bacteria; Bacillati; Actinomycetota; Actinomycetes; Micrococcales; Promicromonosporaceae. The record is from RNAcentral.